RNAcentral lists this long non-coding RNA (387 nucleotides) under Homo sapiens (human). Its description in RNAcentral is "non-protein coding lnc-PHIP-4:1". Lineage: Eukaryota; Metazoa; Chordata; Mammalia; Primates; Hominidae. The record is from RNAcentral.
UCUCACAAAACUCAAAAUCUAUCACAAGAAGCAGACAUUAAUCCAAUAAUUAUAAAAAUACGAUAGUAGUCACUGGUGUGAAAACCUCUGUUGCUCUGAGAAUGUAUCAAGGGCUAAUAAAUGGCCUCAGCAGAGGGGGUUUAAAAUGUCUCUUUAACUCUAUGCAUCCUGGUCGACCAAAGGUACUUUGAGAAAGAAGUCAUUGCUGGAGAAAACUAACCUUAACUUAAGAUUGUAAAAGUCUAAUUAAUAUUACUCAGUGUUUAAAAUAAUCCCCUUUUGGGCCCUCCACUGAAUAAAGUUUUCAGAGAAGAAUCUUCAAAUAACUCAAAAGAUAUACUAUGGCAUCGUUCUUAAUUAGAGCCCUUUAGCAAAAAAACAUGGAUA